GAGCAUCUUGCAGAAUCUGCCACAGUUCUUCUGGAGACUCUGACUGACACACCUGCUUCUCUUUUUGCAGACUUCUUCCAAACCUGAUCAAACAACAUGGAAAAAGAGGGCCCUAAGGAAGGAACACCUAGGGAAGAUCCCGCUGAGCGCCUUCGCCGGCGUAUGGAUCGCUAUAAGAGACACCACCAGCAGUGCGAGCAGCGCUAUGAAGAAGCUCAGCAAGCAAAACGUAUGAAAAAAGAGGAAGAAGGAGGACAAAAUACCAAAGAAGAAAAACCAAAAGAGUUGGAGGUAAAGCACAAAAAAAGAAAAAACACAAAACACCAAAACACUACAACAAUAACAAACAUCCUUUUCUUGUAUGUCCAGGAUCCUGACAAGAAGGGGAAGGAGGAAGAAAAAAAAUAAAUCAAUGAAAAAAGAAAACAAUGUUCAAAGUUAAAAUUUUAAUAUGUUUAA
This is a long non-coding RNA of Pangasianodon hypophthalmus (striped catfish), 459 nucleotides long. RefSeq lists it as uncharacterized. Lineage: Eukaryota; Metazoa; Chordata; Actinopteri; Siluriformes; Pangasiidae. The record is from RefSeq and is a predicted model, not a curated record. The transcript has 4 exons.